Molecule: ribosomal RNA, 553 nt
Filed under: uncultured euryarchaeote
Lineage: Archaea; Methanobacteriati; Methanobacteriota
Description: bacterial SSU rRNA
Rfam family: Archaeal small subunit ribosomal RNA
Source: RNAcentral
AUGGGGUGCAGCAGGCGCGAAACCUCCGCAAUGCGGGCAACCGCAACGGGGGGACCCCCAGUGCCGUGGCAUCGCCACGGCUUUUCCGGAGUGUAAAAAGCUCCGGGAAUAAGGGCUGGGCAAGGCCGGUGGCAGCCGCCGCGGUAAUACCGGCGGCCCGAGUGGUGGCCGCUAUUAUUGGGCCUAAAGCGUCCGUAGCCGGGCCCGUAAGUCCCUGGCGAAAUCCCACGGCUCAACCGUGGGGCUUGCUAGGGAUACUGCGGGCCUUGGGACCGGGAGAGGCCGGGGGUACCCCUGGGGUAGGGGUGAAAUCCUAUAAUCCCAGGGGGACCGCCAGUGGCGAAGGCGCCCGGCUGGAACGGGUCCGACGGUGAGGGACGAAGGCCAGGGGAGCGAACCGGAUUAGAUACCCGGGUAGUCCUGGCUGUAAAGGAUGCGGGCUAGGUGUCGGGCGAGCUUCGAGCUCGCCCGGUGCCGAAGGGAAGCCGUUAAGCCCGCCGCCUGGGGAGUACGGCCGCAAGGCUGAAACUUAAAGGAAUUGGCGGGGGAGCAC